GGGAGCGUGGCGGAAUUGGCAUACGCAGUGGACUUAAAAUCCACCGGUCUUCGAUCUUGUGGGUUCGAGUCCCACCGCUCCUACCA
RNAcentral lists this transfer RNA (86 nucleotides) under Coriobacteriia bacterium. RNAcentral's name for it is "tRNA-Leu". It matches the Rfam family "tRNA". Rfam says of the family: Transfer RNA (tRNA) molecules are approximately 80 nucleotides in length. Their secondary structure includes four short double-helical elements and three loops (D, anti-codon, and T loops). Further hydrogen bonds mediate the characteristic L-shaped molecular structure. tRNAs have two regions of fundamental functional importance: the anti-codon, which is responsible for specific mRNA codon recognition, and the 3' end, to which the tRNAs corresponding amino acid is attached (by aminoacyl-tRNA synthetases). tRNAs cope with the degeneracy of the genetic code in two manners: having more than one tRNA (with a specific anti-codon) for a particular amino acid; and 'wobble' base-pairing, i.e. permitting non-standard base-pairing at the 3rd anti-codon position. The record is from RNAcentral. Lineage: Bacteria; Bacillati; Actinomycetota; Coriobacteriia.